Molecule: long non-coding RNA, 1039 nt
Filed under: Mytilus galloprovincialis (Mediterranean mussel)
Lineage: Eukaryota; Metazoa; Mollusca; Bivalvia; Mytilida; Mytilidae
Source: RNAcentral
CUGUAAACAGCAAUAAUGUUCAGCAAAGUAAGAUUUACAAAUAAGUCAACAUGACCAAAAUGGUCAGUUGACCCCUUUAGGAGUUAUUGACCUUUAUAUUCAAUUUCUAACCAUUUUUCGUAAAUCUUAGUAAUCUUUUACAAAAAUCUUCUCCUCUGAAACUACUGGGCCAAAUUAAUCCAAACUUGGCCACAAUCAUCUUUGGGAUAUCUAGUUUAAAAAAUGUGUGGCAUGACCCGGCCAACCAACCAAGAUGGCCGCCAUGGCUAAAAAUAGAACAUAGGGGUAAAAUGCAGUUUUUAGCUUAUAACUCAAAAACCAAAGCAUUUAGAGCAAAUCUGACAGCAGUUAAAGUGUUUAUAAGGUCAAUAUCUAUCUGUCCUGAAAUUUUCAGAUGAAUCGGACAACCUGUUGUUGGGUUGCUGCCCCUGAAUUGGUAAUUUUAAGGAAAUUUUGCUGUUUUUGGUUAUUACAGUGAAACCUGAUUAAACCGAACCCUGAAUAAACCGGAAACCUGUCUAAUCCAAACUUGUUCUGAAGACCAAUCAUAUCACAUGUUAUGCAUUGUGAACCUGAUGAAACCGAAUACCUGCCAAAACCGAACGCAAUCUCAAGUCCCGAAAGGGUUCGGUUUAGUCAGGUUUCACUGUAUCUUGAAUAUUAUUAUAGAUAGAGAUAAACUGUAAACAGCAAUUAUGUUCAGCAAAGUAAGAUUUACAAAUAAGUCAGCAUGACCAAAAUGGUCAAUUGACCCCUUAAGGAGUUAUUGCCCUUUAUAGUUAAUUUUUAACAUUUUUCAUAAAUUUUUGUAAAUUUGUAGAAAAUAUUUUCCACUGUAAUUACUGGGCCAAGUUCAUUAUAGACAGAGAUAAUUGUAGCAACAAGAAUGUUCAGUAAAGUAAGAUCUACAAACACAUCACUUUCACCAAAACACAAUUAUGUCAUGAAUUUAUCCGUGUCCAUUAUUUAAUAUGCACAAGACCAAGGUGAGCGACACAGGCUCUUUAGAGCCUCUAGUUAUUAUCUAUCAACAAAAGUU